AGCAGCCGCGGUAAUUCCAGCUCCAAUAGCGUAUAUUAAAGUUGUUGCAGUUAAAAAGCUCGUAGUUGAAUUUCGGGGUUAGCAGGUCGGUCGUGCCAUCGGUAUGAACUGGUCUCGCUGAUCCCUCCCUCUUGACGAACUGUGAUGCCAUUAAUUUGGUGUCGCAGGGAAUCAGGACUGUUACUUUGAAAAAAUUAGAGUGUUUAAAGCAGGCUCACGCUUGAAUACAUUAGCAUGGAAUAAUGAAAUAGGACGUUUGAUCCUAUUUUGUUGGUUUCUAGGAUUGACGUAAUGAUUAAUAGGGAUAGUUGGGGGCAUUAGUAUUCAAUUGUCAGAGGUGAAAUUCUUGGAUUUAUUGAAGACUAACUACUGCGAAAGCAUUUGCCAAGGAUGUUUUCAUUAAUCAAGAACGAAAGUUAGGGGAUCGAAGACGAUCAGAUACCGUCGUAGUCUUAACCAUAAACUAUGCCGACUAGGGAUCGGAUGAUGUUAAUUUUUAAUGACUCAUUC
RNAcentral lists this ribosomal RNA (510 nucleotides) under uncultured Glomus. RNAcentral describes it as "SSU rRNA". It matches the Rfam family "Eukaryotic small subunit ribosomal RNA", at positions 569 to 1081 of the family's 1831-position model. Lineage: Eukaryota; Fungi; Glomeromycota; Glomeromycetes; Glomerales; Glomeraceae. The record is from RNAcentral.